Bubalus bubalis (water buffalo) is the source of this 2742-nucleotide long non-coding RNA. RefSeq lists it as uncharacterized. The transcript has 3 exons. Lineage: Eukaryota; Metazoa; Chordata; Mammalia; Artiodactyla; Bovidae. The record is from RefSeq and is a predicted model, not a curated record.
UUAGAGCUAUCUAACUAGUGGCUCAGUUCUAGAAAAGGGACCCCACAUGCAACUUCCAAAGAGGAACCGAAAUGGAGGGGAGAGUGGCAGGAAGGGUAAGGAGGGUGAGCAAGGAGGACGGACCGGGGAAGUGAUUCCCUGACGCACGACGUCCUUGCGGGCUGCUGCGACCCCGAUUCCAACCAGGAGCGCCUAGCGCCCCCGCCAACACCUCCCUCAGGAGAGUUUAACGACCGGCACGCUCCAGCAGGCCUCACUGCAGAGCUCUGAGAGGCGUGUAUAUCAGGUGUUCUCAGUACUUUGCAUCCUGAGAGGAGUCUAAGCUCUUCCUCAUCCUCUCCCAUUGAGGAAAGGCUGUGAUUCCUCAGGAAACGGUGUAGAAGGCCUUAGGUAGGUACGUGACAUAAUUUCUCAUCUCUCUCUAGGCCCCCUUUCUUAGAUGCAAAAAGCUGAAAGGCAAGGAGUCAAAUGAAGAAGGAGUGAAGGAAGAUGCUAAAAUAGUGCCCCAGUGGCCAGGACAGGAUUGCUGUUGUUCAGUUGCUAAGUCUUGUCUGACUCUUCGGCGACUCCAUGGACUGUAGACCUUCAGGCUCCUCUGUUCAUGGGAUUUCCCAGGCAAGAAUAUUGGAGUGGGUUGCCAUUCCCUUCUCCAGGGAAUCUUGACCCAAGAAUUGAACCUGCAUCUCCUGUGUUGCAAGCAGAUUCUUUACCACUGAGCUGCCAGGGAAACCAAACUCCUGAAGGGAAGCUCAUUUUUUUCAAGCAAAGUUAUUUAUUGUUUUUAAUCUCUGUUUCCUUUCUAUUAUCUUCUAUAAUGAGAAAGCCUUUAUUUGGUCUUGCUUAGAAGUUUCACUUCCAAUGAAGAAUCAUAAAGGAUUAAUUUAUUGAUUUGUUGAUUUCCUCAAUUAUCCAUUCACCGAUCCAUCACACCCAUAUUGACCACUGUGUUCUACAGGCAGGGAGAUGAGAAGGGACAAGACACAGACCUGCCCACUAGGUGCCCAUUCGGCAAAGUGGGCAGGAGCUCCCUCCUUGAUGCCCUCCAAACAGUAAGGUCAACAUCGGGACACUGAUGAUGUCAUCUCUACUAGUGAAUUCUCUUCCCAAAGGCCAGGCUUGAAGAAGUGGGUUUGUAUUGAGAUGGCAGCUCUCUGGGAAACUCCUGUUCACCCUUUGAAACUUACAGAUGACACUUAGCGUACUGCCUGGCUUCUUAUCUGGUAAACGUUCCCUGGCUUGUCCUGGUGUUGUAGGAUAACGAAUAAUUCCCCAGACAACUUGGGCACUUCGUUGUUUAUCUUUCUGUCUCCCUCUCCCAGAGUGUUAACUCCUCUGGGAAGGACUGAGUUUUAGCACUGCUGCACCCUAGCACCUGGCAGUGAGCCGGGCACAUAGCUGGCACGUGUUGGCACCCCAUCUCCGGAAGGGGAGUCAGGGCCGCCUCUCUGUUUGGAUCUCUCCACAAACUGUUGGGAUGCCAAGGUGCUGGACUGGCUGAGCAGCACGGGGAGGGAGGCUUGGAGAACUCCUUUUUACUUAAGGGACAGUUCUUUCCAUUCUAAGUCUUAGCGUUGUCUGUCUUCCAUGCGAAGCUUCCAAAUGGGUUUUCCCCUUGAUGGGAACUGCUGACCAUAAAUCAGUCAUUUCUGCACAUCUGUGUUUCAUCCAGAGCAGCGCAGUGGAGUCCUUGUGUUUAGGGGUCCUGCCUUCUGCACCUCAUGUGCUGGUCUAAGCCAGAGAAAGGAGUCAUUAUCAUCAGGUCUGUUACCCUGGAUACCCUGUACCCAUGGUGAUCAGAUUUUAUAAACAAAAGUCAGAGCUUAUGUUCAGUCAUGGAGGGAGGACUCACGGAGUAAGGCAGAAAUUGGGGCGUAGUGGACAUGAAGUCCACAGUGGGGUCACUGGGCCCCCCCUGAGUCCAGCUCUCAGAGUGUCUCGUGAGUGCUCUCCUCUUUUAAAGGCACCACAGCGGUCAGCAGGGUUAAUAGAGCACCAAGCCGUCCUUGCCUCUUAUGCCGUGAGAAGGGCCGUGUGCUUGGACCUGGGCUUGAAUUCCUGGCUCUGUUACCUACUGACCUAUGAGGCUGGGCGAGUGGGUGGACAUCUCUGCGCCUCUCUGCUUUCCUGUUACGGGGUGAGCUGGAGAGCAGGUGCGCUGCAGCACACAGCCUGUCCAGUAGACGCCACGGGCACUGCGCACACACUAAGGCCGCCUCUGUUUCCUCAGCUCCUGGGGACAGGCUGAAAUGAUCAUCUUACAGGCCCAAAUCAGAUUAAACCAAAACAAGAUUUAAACAAAUGUUAAAAAAGGAAAAGACAACAGCUUUAAAAUUCUGGCUUCCAAAUUCCUGAUUAUUUCACUCCAGGAGCUGUGGCCAUGUUCAGAACAGCCUGGGUUACACUUGGAUUGGGGUUCCCUUGCCCCACUGUGGGCGCCAGGGCUGGACACUGUGUAUUCCUUGGGGUCAACAGAGGCCAACUUCCCUCUAUGUAAGGGCCCCACUUGGCCGAGUGCAACGUUGGUUCUACUUUUGUCAUGGAUGUUGAUGAGCGCUGUUCAGAGUAUGAUUCACAGUCUUGUCAAAAUCACAUUCUGCAUUUCUUCACACAGAUACUGAAAUGUAUGGUUUAUCAUUUUUGUAUAAACUCAUGGUCUCUGAAGAUCUGCUUAUGUGAUGUUUCUCAGCAGUAACAUUGUGAAAGUUGGUGGUUGUCUAAUAAAGGUUCCUGGUUUCAAAAUCA